This 3464-nucleotide ribosomal RNA is filed under the name Deferrisoma camini S3R1. Its description in RNAcentral is "bacterial LSU rRNA". It matches the Rfam family "Bacterial large subunit ribosomal RNA". Lineage: Bacteria; Pseudomonadati; Thermodesulfobacteriota; Deferrisomatia; Deferrisomatales; Deferrisomataceae. The record is from RNAcentral.
UCAAGCUACGAAGGGCGCAUGGUGGAUGCCUUGGCACCAGCCGGCGAAGAAGGACGUGGCUAGCUGCGAAAAGCCUCGGGGAGCCGCUAGCAGGCUGUGAUCCGGGGAUGUCCGAAUGGGGAAACCCGGCAGGGGCGAACCCCUGUCAUCCCAUGCUGAAUCCAUAGGCAUGGGAGGCGAACGCGGGGAAGUGAAACAUCUCAGUACCCGCAGGAGAAGAAAUCAAUCGAGAUUCCCUCAGUAGCGGCGAGCGAACGGGGAGGAGCCCAAACCGUCUUUGCGUGAUAGCCCGCAGGCGUUGCAGGGACGGGGUUGUGGGGGAGCACCGGAGGGCGCUGCGGAGCCUUCGGGGAGUGAGAAAUGCCAUGGGUAGCCGAAGCGUCUGGGAAGGCGCGCCACAGAGGGUGAGAGCCCCGUAGGCGAAACCGAUGGCACUUCCUGGGUGCUCAACCCGAGUACCACGGGGCACGUGGAACCCCGUGGGAAUCUGGGAGGACCAUCUUCCAAGGCUAAAUACGAGCUGGUGACCGAUAGUGAACGAGUACCGUGAGGGAAAGGUGAAAAGGACCCCGUAGAGGGGAGUGAAAAGGACCUGAAACCAUGUGCCUACAGCCUGUGGGAGCCCUAUGGUCCCUGAGGGGACAAGGGGUGACCGCGUGCCUUUUGCAUAAUGAGUCAGCGAGUUACGCUUGGCAGCGAGGUUAAGCCGGGAGAGGCGGAGCCGUAGGGAAACCGAGUCUGAAUAGGGCGAAGGAGUUGCCAGGUGUAGACCCGAAACCGGGUGAUCUAUCCAUGUCCAGGGUAAAGCUGGGGUAAGACCCAGUGGAGGCCCGAACCCUAGGGGGUUGAAAACCCCAGGGAUGAGGUGUGGAUAGGGGUGAAAGGCCAAUCAAACCCGGUGAUAGCUGGUUCUCCCCGAAAUAUAUUGAGGUAUAGCCUCGCACGGUAGCCGCCGGGGGUAGAGCACUGGAUGGGCUAGGGCCCCCACCAGGGUACCAAACCUAACCAAACUCCGAAUACCGGCGGUGGAACUGCGGGAGUCAGACUGCGGGGGAUAAGCUCCGUGGUCGAGAGGGAAAGAGCCCAGACCGCCAGCUAAGGUCCCGAAAUCCGUGCUAAGUGGGAAAGGAUGUGGGGCUGCCCAGACAGCCAGGAGGUUGGCUUAGAAGCAGCCAUCCUUUAAAGAAAGCGUAAUAGCUCACUGGUCGAGUGGCCCUGCGCCGAAGAUGUAACGGGGCUCAAGCACGGUACCGAAGCUGCGGAUCUAGAGACUAGAUACUAGAGACUAGAAACUAGAGGACGAGGGGAUGCCGUACCAUCGUUUGGAUGUGUACCAGAAGGCGUAUCGGCUUGCGCUGGAGAUCCACGAGAUGACCCUUGGGUUUCCGAAGCACGAGCAGUACGAACUGGCGAGCCAGCUUCGGCGGUCCAGCAAGUCCAUCUGCGCGAACAUCGCGGAAGGGAUGGGCAAGCAGGAGAGCCGGGCGGACGUACGGCGGUUCAUGCGGAUCGCCGUGGGGUCGUGCGACGAGAGUCGGGUAUGGCUCGAGUUUGCACGGGACCUGGGGUACAUCAAGCCCCGGGAGCAGGCGGCGCUCGAUGAACGCUAUCGGGAGAUCGGCCGUAUGCUCCGAGGGGUUUUGAAGCGAUACGCGAACAGGGACGACCAAGCGAAGCGGCGAGGAAAGGAUUUUUCUAGUAUCUAGUUUCCAGUAUCUAGUCUCUAGAUGGUAGGGGAGCGUUCCUUGUGGGGUGAAGCCGUACCGGAAGGAGCGGUGGACUGCAGGGAAGUGCGAAUGCUGACAUAAGUAGCGAUAAAGCGGGUGAGAAUCCCGCUCGCCGAAAGCCUAAGGUUUCCUGGGGAAGGCUCGUCCGCCCAGGGUUAGUCGAUACCCUAAGCCGAGGCCGAAGGGCGUAGGUGAUGGGAAGCCGGUUAAUAUUCCGGCACCACCGGGGUCGCGUUUGGACCGAAGGGGGGACGCAGGAGGGUAGGUCAGCCAGGCGGUGGUAGACCUGGUUUAAGCGUGUAGGCGGGAGGGGUAGGCAAAACCGCCCCUCUGGUAACGCUGAGGCGUGAUGACGAGGCUCAAAUGGGAGCCGAAGUGACUGAUCCCACACUGCCAAGAAAAGCCCCUAGGGAGUGACCCAGGUGAUCGUACCGCAAACCGACACAGGUAGGCGAGGAGAGAAUCCUAAGGCGCGUGAGAGAACCCUGGCUAAGGAACUCGGCAAAUUGGCACCGUAACUUUGGGAGAAGGUGCACCCCGGUAGGGUGAAGGUGCUUGCCACCGGAGCUCGAGGGGGUCGCAGAGACCAGGCGGUAGCGACUGUUUACCAAAAACAUAGGACUCUGCUAAGCCGCAAGGCGACGUAUAGGGUCUGACGCCUGCCCGGUGCCGGAAGGUUAAGGGGAGGGGUUAGCUUCUUUGGAGGCGAAGCUCUGAACCGAAGCCCCGGUAAACGGCGGCCGUAACUAUAACGGUCCUAAGGUAGCGAAAUUCCUUGUCGGGUAAGUUCCGACCUGCACGAAUGGCGUAACGACUUCCGCACUGUCUCGGCCAGGGACUCAGCGAAAUUGUAGUACGGGUGAAAAUACCCGUGACCCGCAGCAGGACGGAAAGACCCCGUGAACCUUUACUACAGCUUGGCAAUGGACUUCGGGUCAGCAUGUGUAGGAUAGGUGGGAGGCUGGGAAGCCGGGACGCCAGUUUCGGUGGAGCCGUCCUUGAAAUACCACCCUUGUUGAUCUGGGGUUCUAACCUAGGCCCGUGAAGCCGGGUCGGGGACAUUGCCUGGCGGGUAGUUUGACUGGGGCGGUCGCCUCCUAAAAGGUAACGGAGGCGCGCGAAGGUUCCCUCAGACGGAUUGGAAACCCGUCGCAGAGUGCAAAGGCAUAAGGGAGCUUGACUGCGAGACCGACAGGUCGAGCAGGUGGGAAACCAGGCCUUAGUGAUCCGGUGGUUCCGUAUGGAAGGGCCAUCGCUCAACGGAUAAAAGGUACUCCGGGGAUAACAGGCUGAUACCGCCCAAGAGUUCACAUCGACGGCGGUGUUUGGCACCUCGAUGUCGGCUCGUCACAUCCUGGGGCUGGAGCAGGUCCCAAGGGUUCGGCUGUUCGCCGAUUAAAGUGGUACGCGAGCUGGGUUCAGAACGUCGUGAGACAGUUCGGUCCCUAUCCGCUGUGGGUGUAGGAGAUCUGAGAGGGUCUUCCCCUAGUACGAGAGGACCGGGGUGGACGGACCUCUGGUGUACCGGUUGUUCUGCCAAGGGCACCGCCGGGUAGCCAUGUCCGGAACGGAUAACCGCUGAAAGCAUCUAAGCGGGAAGCCGGCCUCGAGACGAGAUCUCCCUGGGACUACGGUCCCCUGAAGGCCCGUUGGAGACGACGACGUAGAUAGGCCGGGGGUGUAAGCGCAGCGAUGCGUUGAGCUGACCGGUACUAAAGGGCCGUGUGGCUUGACCGC